Molecule: ribosomal RNA, 253 nt
Filed under: uncultured bacterium
Lineage: Bacteria
Description: partial 16S ribosomal RNA
Rfam family: Bacterial small subunit ribosomal RNA
Source: RNAcentral
UACGUAGGGUGCAAGCGUUAAUCGGAAUUACUGGGCGUAAAGCGUGCGCAGGCGGUUAUGUAAGACAGGUGUGAAAUCCCCGGGCUUAACCUGGGAACUGCAUUUGUGACUGCAUAGCUAGAGUACGGUAGAGGGGGAUGGAAUUCCGCGUGUAGCAGUGAAAUGCGUAGAUAUGCGGAGGAACACCGAUGGCGAAGGCAAUCCCCUGGACCUGUACUGACGCUUAUGCACGAAAGCGUGGGGAGCAAACAGG